CGGGUGAGUAACGCGUGAGGAACCUGCCUCAAAGAGGGGGACAACAGUCGGAAACGACUGCUAAUACCGCAUAAGCCCACGGCUCGGCAUCGAGCAGAGGGAAAAGGAGUGAUCCGCUUUGAGAUGGCCUCGCGUCCGAUUAGCUAGUUGGUGAGGUAACGGCCCACCAAGGCAACGAUCGGUAGCCGGACUGAGAGGUUGAACGGCCACAUUGGGGCUGAGACACGGCCCAG
RNAcentral lists this ribosomal RNA (233 nucleotides) under uncultured bacterium. RNAcentral describes it as "partial 16S ribosomal RNA". It matches the Rfam family "Bacterial small subunit ribosomal RNA", at positions 103 to 334 of the family's 1533-position model. The record is from RNAcentral.